UAAUAUGGCGGCUGUGUGCGGGGCAUCCUCGGGUGCGCCGGAUUCCUAUAUCUCCGGUCUGUCAACCCGCACACAACUGCCACCCUC
This is a non-coding RNA of Pseudomonas batumici, 87 nucleotides long. The record is from Rfam. Lineage: Bacteria; Pseudomonadati; Pseudomonadota; Gammaproteobacteria; Pseudomonadales; Pseudomonadaceae.